GAUGAACGCUAGCUACAGGCUUAACACAUGCAAGUCGAGGGGAAACGAUAGAGAAAGCUUGCUUUUUCUAGGCGUCGACCGGCGCACGGGUGAGUAACGCGUAUCCAACCUGCCCAUCACUUGGGGAUAACCUUGCGAAAGUAAGACUAAUACCCAAUGACGUCUCUAGAGGACAUCUGAAAGAGAUUAAAAGAUUUAUCGGUGAUGGAUGGGGAUGCGUCUGAUUAGCUUGUUGGCGGGGUAACGGCCCACCAAGGCGACGAUCAGUAGGGGUUCUGAGAGGAAGGUCCCCCANAUUGGAACUGAGACACGGUCCAAAACUCCUACGGGAGGCAGCAGUGAGGAAUAUUGGUCAAUGGACGAGAGUCUGAACCAGCCAAGUAGCGUGCAGGAUGACGGCCCUAUGGGUUGUAAAACUGCUUUUAAUAAGGGGAAUAAAAGUGAGUCUCGUGAGACUUUUUGCAUGUACCUUGUGAAUAAGGACCGGCUAAUUCCGUGCCAGCA
This 504-nucleotide ribosomal RNA is filed under the name uncultured bacterium. RNAcentral's name for it is "bacterial SSU rRNA". It matches the Rfam family "Bacterial small subunit ribosomal RNA", at positions 28 to 513 of the family's 1533-position model. The record is from RNAcentral.